AACGAACGCUGGCGGCAUGCCUAACACAUGCAAGUCGAGCGCCUGUAGCAAUACAGGAGCGGCGCACGGGUGAGUAACGCGUGGGAACCUGCCCUUAGGUUCGGAACAACCGCGGGAAACUGCGGCUGAUACCGGAUGAUGUCUUCGGACCAAAGAUUUAUCGCCUUUGGAGGGGCCCGCGUCGGAUUAGGUAGUUGGUGAGGUAACGGCUCACCAAGCCUGCGAUCCGUAGCUGGUCUGAGAGGAUGACCAGCCACACUGGGACUGAGACACGGCCCAGACUCCUACGGGAGGCAGCAGUGGGGAGUAUUGGACAAUGGGGGCAACCCUGAUCCAGCAAUGCCGCGUGAGUGAUGAAGGCCUUAGGGUUGUAAAGCUCUUUUACCCGGGAUGAUAAUGACAGUACCGGGAGAAUAAGCUCCGGCUAACUCCGUGCCAGCCGCCGCGGUAA
This 451-nucleotide ribosomal RNA is filed under the name uncultured bacterium. RNAcentral's name for it is "partial 16S ribosomal RNA". It matches the Rfam family "Bacterial small subunit ribosomal RNA", at positions 29 to 523 of the family's 1533-position model. The record is from RNAcentral.